Molecule: ribosomal RNA, 368 nt
Filed under: uncultured bacterium
Lineage: Bacteria
Description: bacterial SSU rRNA
Rfam family: Bacterial small subunit ribosomal RNA
Source: RNAcentral
GGAGGGUGCAAGCGUUAUCCGGAUUUAUUGGGUUUAAAGGGUCCGUAGGCGGAUGCGUAAGUCAGUGGUGAAAUCUCACAGCUCAACUGUGAAACUGCCAUUGAUACUGCGUGUCUUGAGUAAGGUAGAAGUGGCUGGAAUAAGUAGUGUAGCGGUGAAAUGCAUAGAUAUUACUUGGAACACCAAUUGCGAAGGCAGGUCACUAUGUCUUAACUGACGCUGAUGGACGAAAGCGUGGGGAGCGAACAGGAUUAGAUACCCUGGUAGUCCACGCCGUAAACGAUGCUAACUCGUUUUUGGGGCUUUAAGCUUCAGAGACUAAGCGAAAGUGAUAAGUUAGCCACCUGGGGAGUACGAACGCAAGUUUG